CUCGAUUGAGAUUUUGAGAAAAUGCUUUGAUUUAUUAGAUGGUAUAUACAUAUGAUUUUUGGAAAUCCUUGAUAAUCGUAAGUCAUGCAAGACAGUGAUUACAUCUCCUGGGAGAGAUUUUCCAAACUUUGCAGAAUCAAAUAAAGAUUAAAAGUUAUCUGAAAGGGAUGAAAACGUAAACUUACACAGGACUCGGCCAGCAUACCACCCAAUGCUGAUUCUCCACCCAAUCUCAACUGCUACAACAAACAAUACGACGAGGAGGUCAGCAACACAUAAGUUCAUUAGGAGCAUGUUCAUGGGGGUGCAUCUUAUGCGGAUACGCCGACAAACGGCAUAGAACUCGAGCAGAUUUCCCACUGAGGCUAAAAUGAACACGACGAAAUAUGUGAUGAUCCAGGGCCAGGCGAAUGGGUCAUCAAUGGUAAAAUUAUUCUCGUAAUUCUCAAAGUUGAGCUCUGGACUGGGUCCCAAGUGCAGGAGAGAAGAACCACUUUGACGGCUGAGUUCGUCGAGUUUGUCUGACGCGUUGGAGAAUUUCAAAGACAUUGUUCCCGUUAUUGGGUGAGACCGAAUCAAUUGAUAGGUUAGAACGUAAUUGGUUUUUUUUAUCUAACAAAUAAACUGUAAUGAGGUGAUUGUGUGAGUGAGCUGGGAUACCACUUUCUCCAACUUUCUGCGGGGAGCGUGAGACCUGCACUGGAGAAAGUGAGCAAACGACUCUGUCUUUUAUCUGUGUACCAUAAUAAUCCUACCGAGGUGACGCAUUCGUCCGCCUUCUUCUGCCCCCGUUUGAUGCUCCCCAUUCCUUAAAUCUUCAAUGGCAGGGCACCAAACGGAACUAAUGGGCAGAAAGACGCAUGUAUUAUUGUUCAUUGGUACAGAAAAUCAAGGAUAACAUUGGGUUUUAAUUUCGUCUCAAGACCUGGCCAAAUUGUACUAUCGCUAUGCUAAGGAGCCCGAAGUAUCACAAGUUUCCCAAGUAUUCUGCAUGUAAUGAAUGAGAACUUGAUUAAUUCUUUUAAAACUGUAGUGCAUAUCACUGUUCAUAUCCCUUUUCUUCAGGCAAUUUUAGUCCGAGUCUUGUACAUAAAUUAAGCUAAAAAAAUGUAUAGUUAUUGGUACGUGUGAAUGAGUGGUCUCUAAUAUAGCAAUUUCAAUUUGCGAGUGUACAAAGUACAACAACAAAAAUGCUCAGAUUUGUUAAAUAACGCACAUAAUGUUAAAUUAUAAAAUGCGGCCUUGCAUUGUUCACUUACUACAUACGAGUUAAAGGAAAUGUUUAUUGAACCUAAAUAAAAUACAGCUCCCGUUAAACGUAGACUUUUGAUUACUAAUAGAGUAAUCUACAUUAGGCUUGAGUUAAAGUAUACAUAAAUACGUAAAAGAAUGUGUAUGCAUGUUUUUCCUUGUUUGAAAGAAAUAUUGUAAAAGGUACUAGUGGUGAGUACGCACGCUUUUUGAGUUUGGUGGCGUGGCGUAUGAUGCCGCAUUUAUUUUUUCCACUGGUAUUAUUCGGAUCGGAAUUUGUAUUUUUCUUCCCCCUUAUUUUGUGGUAUGGAGGAGCUUCAUAUGCUGCAGAGUCGUCAGCAUUUAUGUCUUCUAUCAUGUCCAGUAUUUUUGCGAAAGAGGUCCCGGAAAUGUCUCUUCCGGCAACACUCCCAGAAUCCAGUACCAGCAAAUUUAAAGAGACGACGACGACGACGACGACGAGUCGGCCCAAGAAAUAUGCGAUACGACGCAGGGUUGUCAAAGUCAUUACCACGACGGAGGAGGAGGAAACAGACUGUAAAAGUCGUGGCGGAAGUCCUUGCAUGAGUGAUGACCAGUGCUGUCUGGGCAAGUGCAGUCCUCUGGGGCGUUGCCCCACAGCCGCCCAACUUUUUGACGCCGCGGCCAUCACUCUCAAGAAGGAAAAAGACAAACACAUUUCACAGAAAGCCAAAGAAAACUAAAAUCAGUCAGGCUGAUGAGCAAAAUAUUAGAAAGUGACAAUUAACUAAAUCCAUUUUGUAAAAAUCUCCUUUAUAGACACAAGAAAGUUAUUAAAAUUGAUGAUUA
Molecule: long non-coding RNA, 2061 nt
Organism: Folsomia candida
Lineage: Eukaryota; Metazoa; Arthropoda; Collembola; Entomobryomorpha; Isotomidae
Exons: 3
Source: RefSeq, a predicted model, not a curated record